This 314-nucleotide ribosomal RNA is filed under the name uncultured eukaryote. Its description in RNAcentral is "partial 18S ribosomal RNA". It matches the Rfam family "Eukaryotic small subunit ribosomal RNA", at positions 1470 to 1796 of the family's 1831-position model. The record is from RNAcentral.
CCCUUAGAUGUCCUGGGCCGCACGCGUGCUACACUGAUGCAUACAGCGAGUACUCCCAGCUCCGCGAGGCUGCUGGUAAUCAGCAAUAUGCAUCGUGAUGGGGAUAGAUCUUUGGAAUUAUAGAUCUUGAACGAGGAAUUCCUAGUAAACGCAAGUCAUCACCUUGCGUUGACUAAGUCCCUGCCCUUUGUACACACCGCCCGUCGCUCCUACCGAUUUCAAGUGAUCCGGUGAAUCAUUCGGACCGCGUGGGCUUGACCUAACGUGGAAAGUCUAGUAAACCAUAUCACUUAGAGGAAGGAGAAGUCGUAACA